This is a non-coding RNA of Callithrix jacchus (white-tufted-ear marmoset), 663 nucleotides long. The record is from RefSeq and is a predicted model, not a curated record. NCBI's taxonomy places the organism in Eukaryota, Metazoa, Chordata, Mammalia, Primates, Cebidae.
GCAUUACAGGUGUGAGCAACCACACCUGGCCAAAUUUUCUCUGUUUAAUUGUCUUUAGAGACGAGCUCUUGCUCUGUCACCUAGGCUGGAGCGCAGUGGCUCAGCAAUAGUUCACUGCAGCCUUAAACUCCUGGACUCAAAUGAUCUUCCCACCUCAGCUUUCUGAGUAGGGAACAUGACAUCCUCUUCCCAGGGUACACCCACCUGCAGAGGGCCCAACCCCAUCACUGGAGCCACUGGAUUCUGAGGUGAGCUGGACUUGAGUGCAAUGGCACGAUCUCAGCUCACUGCAACCUUCACCUCCGAGGUUCCAGUAAUUCUCCUGGCUCAGCCUCCCAAGUAGCUGGGAUUACAGCUGAGUUCCUGUUCUAGGCUUCAUUCUGCAUGACCCAUCUCAGCAGGAUGGCCAGGGACCUCAUCCUCUGUGGCACCAAGGAAUUCAGCUUCAUGUAGCUCUCAGAUGCCUACAGGAUCCAUGGAGCACGUAACACAUCCUGAUGCUGUUCUCAGCCUUCUAUGGCCUCUUGGUCACCGUUUCCUACCAUCUGAGCUGGCAGAGCAGUGACCCAUCUGUGUUCAUGUCCUUCAUUCAAUGCAGACUGUUUCCUAAGUUUUUACAUCAAAAUCUGGAAGAGUCAGCUGCUGAUCCUCUCCCCAAGAAGU